Molecule: RNA transcript, 3577 nt
Organism: Manis javanica (Malayan pangolin)
Lineage: Eukaryota; Metazoa; Chordata; Mammalia; Pholidota; Manidae
Gene: IKBKE
Gene name: inhibitor of nuclear factor kappa B kinase subunit epsilon
Source: RefSeq, a predicted model, not a curated record
CUCCGUUCCAGGGCUCUCCGGGGCUCGGACUCCGGUCCUAUCACUCUACUUGGGAAGUCCGAGCAUCCUCUCUCUCCUUCCUGUGACGGUGGCAGCUGCAGUCCAGCCGCCUCUGUCUCUUUAAGAGAGAGAGAGAGAAAGAGCAAGAUCAGGAAGUGUGAGAGGGCUGAGCGCCUGGCUGGACGCUGAGCUCAGUGUCUGCCUCUCCGGAAGGCAGGGAGGAAACCCCAGGCUCCAGAUCUCCCGGCUCCCAGCAGCACACGGCCCCUUCCAGCGGCCCAGUCCUCAGGUCCCUGGGGCCCACGGCCACCAGGAUGCCAUGGGCGCUGCCCAUGAGUGACAGCAAACCCUGAGAGCUCUGCGGGUGCCGCCCAGUCCCACAGCUGAGAUGGGCUCAGCGCCUGGACUUGCCACAGACGGAAAGCAUAGCACAUACUCACCGCCCGGGAGAGUCUCUGCCUGAUCCAGGGCUGCUCAGAGCUCGGGUACAAGGUGGCUGGCCAGCCAGGGGCAGGAGAUGCUGAGCACUGUCAAUUACCUGUGGCACACGGACGACCUGCUGGGGCAGGGGGCCACUGCCAGUGUGUACAAGGCCCGGAACAAGAAAUCCGGGGAGCUGGUUGCUGUGAAGGUCUUCAACACCGCCAGCUACCUGCGACCCCGAGAGGUGCAGGGGAGGGAGUUUGAGGUCCUGCGGAAGCUGAACCACCCGAACAUCGUCAAGCUCUUUGCCGUGGAGGAGACGGGGAACAGCCGGCAGAAGGUGCUGGUGAUGGAGUACUGCUCCAGUGGGAGCCUGCUGAGUGUGCUGGAGAGCCCGGAGCACAGCUUCGGGCUGCCUGAGGAGGAGUUCCUGGUGGUGCUGCGCUGUGUGGCGGCUGGCAUGAACCACUUGCGGGAGAAUGGCAUCGUCCACCGCGACAUCAAGCCCGGGAACAUCAUGCGCCUCGUGGGGGGGGAGGGGCAGAGCAUCUACAAACUGACCGACUUCGGGGCUGCCCGUGAGCUGGACGACGAUGAGCAGUUCGUCUCCGUCUACGGGACUGAGGAGUAUCUGCAUCCUGACAUGUAUGAGCGGGCGGUUCUUCGCAAGCCCCAGCAGAAGGCAUUUGGGGUGACUGUGGAUCUCUGGAGCACUGGAGUGACCCUGUACCAUGCCGCCACCGGCAGCCUGCCCUUCGUGCCCUUUGGUGGGCCCCGGCGCAAUAAGGAGAUCAUGUACCGGAUCAUCACAGAGAAGCCGGCCGGGGCCAUUGCCGGCACACAGAAGCGGGAAAAUGGGCCCCUGGAGUGGAGUUACACCCUCCCCAUCACCUGCCAGCUGUCCAUGGGUCUGCAGAGCCAGCUGGUGCCCAUCCUGGCCAACAUCCUGGAGGUGGAGCAAGCCAAGUGCUGGGGCUUCGACCAGUUCUUUGCAGAGACCAGUGACAUCCUGCAGCGCGUUGUCGUCCAUGUCUUCUCCCUGUCCCAGGUGGUCCUGCACCAUGUCUACAUCCAUGUCCACAACACGGUAGCCAUCUUUCUGGAGGCUGUGUAUGAGCAGACCAGCGUGGCCCCCCAGCACCAGGAGUACCUCUUUGAGGGUCACUGCUGUGUUCUCAAGCCCAACCUCUCGGCAAAGCACAUCGCCCACACGACAGCAAGCAGCCCCCUGGUCCUGUUCAGCAUAGCCAACGAGACCCCCAAGGGGCUGGCCUUCCGGGACCCUGCUCUGGACAUUCCCAAGUUUGUCCCCAAAGUGGACCUGCAGGCAGAUUACAACACAGCCAAGGGUGUGCUGGGCGCUGGCUACCAGGCCUUGCGGCUGGCCCGGGCCCUGCUGGCUGGGCAGGAACUAACACUUCGGGGGCUCCACUGGUUCUUGGAGGUGCUCCAGGCCUCCUGCAAGCGGACCCUGGAGGUCACACGGGUGGCCCUGCUCUUCCUCAGCAGCAGCCUGGGCACAGAGAGGCUCAGUGACAUGGCUGAGGUGCGUGGGACCCAGGAGCUGAGGAGGGCCACGGAGCUGAGGACCCAGCUGCGGGCUCUGGCUGAGGUCCUCUCCAGGUGUUCCCACAACAUCACAGAGGCCCAGAUGAGCAUGGGCCACCUGAGCUUGGAGCUGGCGAAGAACCGGGAUCAGGUACAUGAGGACAGAAGCAUCCAGCAGAUUCAGUGUUGUUUGGACAAGAUGUACCUUACCUACAAACAGUUCAGGAAGUCCAGGAUGAGGCCAGGGCUUGGCUACAAUGAGGAGCAGAUUCACAAGCUGGAUAAGGUGAAUUUUAGUCAUUUAGCCAAAAGGCUCUUGAAGGUAUUCCAGGAGGAGUGUGUGCAGAAGUAUCAGGCAUCUCUGGUCGCGCACGGCAAGCGGAUGAGGGAGGUCCAUGAUACCAGGAACCACCUGUGCCAGGUGGGCUGUUCCGUGGCCGCCUGUAGCACCAAAGCCCAGGAAGCCCAGGAGAGCCUCAGCAAGAUCCUUGACCAGCUAUCGCACCAGCUCCUUCAGGACAGAGCAGAAGGGGCUGAGGCGUCACUGCUCCCAGUAACUGCUUAUCCCAUCCCUGCACCAAUGGACCUGGUCCUCCACAUGCAAGAGCUCUAUGAGGAGAUGAAGCUGGUGGCAUUUGACCUUCAGGACAACAACCGCAUCAUUGAAGGAAGAAACGUGGCAAAGAGCAGAGUGCCCACCUCUCCUGUAACCAAGGAAGCACAUUGGAGAGGGGAAACCCCUACCAUCUAGCAGCCGCACUUCAUAAAGCAUGUUCUUCGACGCAAACAGGAAGGGGGGACAUAAUCUCAGAAUCAAGGACGGUCCUUGCCCUGAAGGUUAAACAGGGUCCCCUCAGCUCCUGACGUCUGAGCUCCGUGGGGUGUACGCGUCAUCCGGAAGCAUUAAAAUCAUGCACACGUUGCCCCUGCCUGCACCGUGGGACCCAGCACAGGACUCCAUGCAGCCCCAUCUCAUCAGCCUGCCUCCUCCCUGGCUGACAGCUGGGCUGUGGCACCAGCCUCCCCUCCUGCUGCCUUUCUGCGGGAAGCCCCAGGCCAUCUCCUUCAGGACCCUCGGCCGGGCGUCUCAUGCAGACUCGGGUACAGCUCCCCCGUUGCCCUGGCCUGUGUGGCUGAACCUGGAGAAAGGCGAUGAUGGGCCCUGCCACCCACUGCCCUGGUAUAAGGAGCACCGCUUUUCGGGGAGCAGCAGAGGAGGCUCCCUCUGGUCUCCCCAGGGCACUGCAUCAGCAGACCUCACUUCGGUCUUCCUCCCCCUAAGCUGUCUCUGGUUGAACAUACAGCCCCCUCCCCUCUCCUCUUUUCUGAGGGUCACCGUACUCAGCCCCAGGCCGUACAGAUUCUGUUUUCUUUCCACUUUUGCUCCAGCUGAGCCUAAGGUUGAGAGAUCGGGUGGCCUUGGCCAGGCGCCAGGGCCUCAGGGAGCCCCUCUUCUCUCUCUGAGGCACUAGCAGUUUCAGGGACAUGCAGCCAGCAGGUGUCAGCAGUAGCCAUGCAGAUUAGCACAGGCCUGCACGCCCGCAGCCCUGGGAGGACACACAGGCUGUACCCUUCAGAAGUGGAAUAAACAUGGUCUCCUUUUCUA